UCAGCAUGGCCUUUAUAUCCCUGGGCUACACACACGCUACAAUGGCCAACACGAAUAGGUUGCUAAGCCGCGAGGUGGAGCCAAUCCAUAAAGUUGGUCUCAGUUCAGAUUGUAGGCUGCAACCCGCCUGCAUGAAGAUGGAGUUGCUAGUAACCGCAGGUCAGCUAUACUGCGGUGAAUACGUUCCCGGGGCUU
Molecule: ribosomal RNA, 195 nt
Filed under: uncultured Leptolinea sp.
Lineage: Bacteria; Bacillati; Chloroflexota; Anaerolineae; Anaerolineales; Anaerolineaceae
Description: partial 16S ribosomal RNA
Rfam family: Bacterial small subunit ribosomal RNA
Source: RNAcentral